UCCCCUGUAGCUCAAUGGUAGAGCGCCCGGCUGUUAACCGGUAGGUUGGUGGUUCGAGUCCACCCGGGGGAGCCA
Molecule: transfer RNA, 75 nt
Filed under: bacterium
Lineage: Bacteria
Also listed under: 3 other names
Description: tRNA-Asn
Rfam family: tRNA
About the family: Transfer RNA (tRNA) molecules are approximately 80 nucleotides in length.
Source: RNAcentral